GACGAACGCUGGCGGCGUGCUUAACACAUGCAAGUCGAGCGGUAAGGCCCUUCUGGGUACACGAACGGCGAACGGGUGAGUAACACGUGAGCAAUCUGCCCUUCUCUUUGGAAUAACCAUUGGAAACGAUGGCUAAUGCCGAAUAUGAACCCCCUUCGCAUGUUGGGGGUUGGAAAGCUCCGGCGGACAUGGAUGAGCUCGCGGCCUAUCAACUUGUUGGUGAGGUAAUGGCUCACCAAGGCAUUGACCGAUAGCCGGCCUGACAGGGUGACCGGCCACACUGGGACUGAGACACAGCCCAGACUCCUACGGGAGGCAGCAGUGGGGAAUAUUGGACAAUGGGCGAAAGCCUGAUCCAGCAACGCCGCGUGAGGGAUGACGGCCUUCGGGUUGUAAACCUCUUUCAUCAAGGACGAAGCAAGAGUGACGGUACCUGCAGAAGAAGGACCGGCCAACUACGUGCCAGCAGCCGCGGUAAUACGUAGGGUCCGAGCGUUGUCCGGAAUUAUUGGGCGUAAAGGGCUCGUAGGCGGUUUGUCGCGUCGGGAGUGAAAACUCAGGGCUUAACCCUGAGCUGGCUUUCGAUACGGGCUGACUAGAGGUAUGCAGGGGAGAACGGAACUCCUGGUGUAGCGGUGAAAUGCGCAGAUAUCAGGAAGAACACCGGUGGCGAAGGCGGUUCUCUGGGCAUUACCUGACGCUGAGGAGCGAAAGUGUGGGGAGCGAACAGGAUUAGAUACCCUGGUAGUCCACACCGUAAACGGUGGGCGCUAGGUGUGGGACUCAUUCCACGAGUUCCGUGCCGCAGCUAACGCAUUAAGCGCCCCGCCUGGGGAGUACGGCCGCAAGGCUAAAACUCAAAGGAAUUGACGGGGGCCCGCACAAGCGGCGGAGCAUGCGGAUUAAUUCGAUGCAACGCGAAGAACCUUACCUAGGUUUGACAUAUAGGGAAAUCUCCUGGAGACAGGAGGUCCGUAAGGGCUCUAUACAGGUGGUGCAUGGCUGUCGUCAGCUCGUGUCGUGAGAUGUUGGGUUAAGUCCCGCAACGAGCGCAACCCUCGUCUUAUGUUGCCAGCACGUAAUGGUGGGGACUCAUAAGAGACUGCCGGGGUCAACUCGGAGGAAGGUGGGGAUGACGUCAAGUCAUCAUGCCCCUUAUGCCUAGGGCUUCAAGCAUGCUACAAUGGCCGGUACAAAGGGCUGCGAAACUGUAAGGUGGAGCGAAUCCCAAAAAGCCGGUCUCAGUUCGGAUUGGGGUCUGCAACUCGACCCCAUGAAGUCGGAGUCGCUAGUAAUCGCAGAUCAGCAACGCUGCGGUGAAUACGUUCCCGGGCCU
RNAcentral lists this ribosomal RNA (1336 nucleotides) under uncultured bacterium. Its description in RNAcentral is "bacterial SSU rRNA". It matches the Rfam family "Bacterial small subunit ribosomal RNA", at positions 28 to 1381 of the family's 1533-position model. The record is from RNAcentral.